This 594-nucleotide ribosomal RNA is filed under the name uncultured bacterium. RNAcentral's name for it is "bacterial SSU rRNA". It matches the Rfam family "Bacterial small subunit ribosomal RNA", at positions 57 to 682 of the family's 1533-position model. The record is from RNAcentral.
GCAGUCGAACGAAGGCCCGGGGCUUGCCCCGGUCACCUUAGUGGCGAACGGGUGAGUAACGCGUGGGAACCUGCCCAGGGGCGGGGAAUAACUACUGGAAACGGUAGCUAAUACCGCAUACGUCCUCAGGGAGAAAGGCUUCGGCCACCCUUGGAUGGUCCCGCGUCUGAUUAGCUUGUUGGUGUGGUAAAGGCGCACCAAGGCGACGAUCAGUAGCUGGUCUGAGAGGAUGAUCAGCCACACUGGGACUGAGACACGGCCCAGACUCCUACGGGAGGCAGCAGUGGGGAAUAUUGGACAAUGGGCGAAAGCCUGAUCCAGCAAUGCCGCGUGAGUGAAGAAGGCCUUAGGGUUGUAAAACUCUUUCGCCGGUGAAGAUGAUGACUGUAACCGGUAAAGAAGCUCCGGCUAACUCCGUGCCAGCAGCCGCGGUAAUACGGAGGGGGCUAGCGUUGUUCGGAAUUACUGGGCGUAAAGCGCACGUAGGCGGUUUAUCUAGUUAGGCGUGAAAGCCCUGGGCUCAACCCAGGAACUGCGUUUAAUACUGAUAAACUAGAGACCGGGAGAGGGUGGCGGAAUUCCCAGUGUAGAGGU